RNAcentral lists this unclassified non-coding RNA (347 nucleotides) under Hevea brasiliensis (rubber tree). Lineage: Eukaryota; Viridiplantae; Streptophyta; Magnoliopsida; Malpighiales; Euphorbiaceae. The record is from RNAcentral.
UCCCUAACAAAUAGCUCUACCCACUCUGCACCAUCCAUUGGAAGUUGUGGUGUAGCUGAUAGAUCAUCAGUUGAUGGAGCUUCCAUAAUAGUUAUUGUUAUGCCUUGUUGGACAUUAGACUCAAGGAGUACAUCUGAUCUAACUACAUUGGAUCCCACGUUGUUGUCAGCCGAAGCUAACCGAAGCUCAUUCAAACUUCUGAUAGCUGAAUCUAAAUCAUCACCGCAUUCUUCAAGUGCUCUCUCAAGAAUCUGCUUGUCCAUAUCAGGGAAAAGAGCAACGAGUUUCUCGAUGAAAAGCAAAGACGAUUGAUUGAAGGAGGGGGAGGAGACAGAAACAGCGUUGUA